This 520-nucleotide unclassified non-coding RNA is filed under the name uncultured Glomus. Its description in RNAcentral is "SSU rRNA". It matches the Rfam family "Eukaryotic small subunit ribosomal RNA", at positions 569 to 1091 of the family's 1831-position model. Lineage: Eukaryota; Fungi; Glomeromycota; Glomeromycetes; Glomerales; Glomeraceae. The record is from RNAcentral.
AGCAGCCGCGGUAAUUCCAGCUCCAAUAGCGUAUAUUAAAGUUGUUGCAGUUAAAAGCUCGUAGUUGAAUUUCGGGAUCAAUUUGCUGGUCGUGCCUCUGGUACGUACUGGUAUUAUUGGUUUCUCCCUUCUGACGAACCAUGAUGUCAUUAAUUUGAUGUCGUGGAGAAUCAGGACUGUUACUUUGAAAAAAUUAGAGUGUUUAAAGCAGGCAUUAGCUUGAAUACAUUAGCAUGGAAUAAUGAAAUAGGACGUUUGAUCCUAUUUUGUUGGUUUCUAGGAUUGACGUAAUGAUUAAUAGGGAUAGUUGGGGGCAUUAGUAUUCAAUUGUCAGAGGUGAAAUUCUUGGAUUUAUUGAAGACUAACUACUGCGAAAGCAUUUGCCAAGGAUGUUUUCAUUAAUCAAGAACGAAAGUUAGGGGAUCGAAGACGAUCAGAUACCGUCGUAGUCUUAACCAUAAACUAUGCCGACUAGGGAUCGGAUGAUGUUAAUUUUUUAAUGACUCAUUCGGCGCCUUAC